Molecule: long non-coding RNA, 433 nt
Organism: Cyprinodon tularosa
Lineage: Eukaryota; Metazoa; Chordata; Actinopteri; Cyprinodontiformes; Cyprinodontidae
Exons: 4
Source: RefSeq, a predicted model, not a curated record
UUACAUUCGCAUUGGUUUCACUCAAUUAGAGUCUUCGAAUGCAAGAAGCAAACCUGAUCGUUUUUGGUUGCAAAAUGGCAAGAAAUGAGAAGCUUCUUGUUGCUCUGCGAGACCUGGAUAAGCGCUGACAAUAUCAAAGAGAUGGCAGCUUGUUGGUAGCGCAAAGGGAGACAUGGAGAGAAUGUCAUUGCAUGUCAUGUUGAUUAGCAGUAAACCUCAGUUGGUCUGUGAUCUUCAUGGAAAAGGUCUUAACUGUGUGCAGCAGUUCUCAGUCUUCAUCACCUCCCUGCCAGCUCUUCCUUGCAAGUACUAAAUCUCUCUGAUCUCACUCACAUUCUCCUGGACCUCUGAGACCAACCAGAAAAUUCAACUGACCUCCUGCAGGCCUCCACUUCCAGAUUCUUGUUGCCUUUUGACAAUAAAGUGUUAAAAC